GACGAACGCUGGCGGCGUGCCUAAUACAUGCAAGUCGAACGCACAGUUUAUACCGUAGCUUGCUACACCAUAGACUGUGAGUUGCGAACGGGUGAGUAACGCGUAGGUAACCUGCCUGGUAGCGGGGGAUAACUAUUGGAAACGAUAGCUAAUACCGCAUAAUAUUAAUUAUUGCAUGAUAAUUAAUUGAAAGGUGCAAUUGCACCACUACCAGAUGGACCUGCGUUGUAUUAGUUAGUAGGUGAGGUAACGGCUCACCUAGGCGGCGAUACAUAGCCGACCGGAGAUGGUGAGCGGCCAGACUGGGACGGAGACACGGCCCAGAGUCCUACGGGAGGCAGCAGGAGGGAAUCUUCGGCAAGGGGCGAGAGUCUGACCGAGCUACGCCGCGGGAGGAAAGAAGGGUUUCGGGUCGGAAAGCUCUGUUGUAGGGGAAGAACGGGUGUGAGAGUGGAAAGUUCACACUGUGACGGUAACUUACCAGAAAGGGACGGCUAACUACGUG
This 505-nucleotide ribosomal RNA is filed under the name uncultured bacterium. Its description in RNAcentral is "partial 16S ribosomal RNA". It matches the Rfam family "Bacterial small subunit ribosomal RNA", at positions 28 to 507 of the family's 1533-position model. The record is from RNAcentral.